AGCCAAAUUUCUAAGUAUAGUGUAUUCUUGCUCUGGGAAUAUAGAGAAGGGUCCAUAAGCCAAUCUUUCUGAGUUCAAGAUGUCUUCCCUCAAGGGCAUGCAGAAUGUCACAAAAAAUGUGUUAAACCAGAGGAAUAGUCAUGAAGGGUCCAGAGAGACUGCAUGAGACUGAUCAGCAGUUAUAAUCCACCUGUACUCACCAACUGCUCAAGUGCUUUGCUGGUGAGAUCUCAUGCCUCAAGGAAAAUGGACCUGACAAUGGAAGACUGACACUUCUUCAUUAUAUUCAAGGGCUCAGCUUUUCAACUUACUUGGCAAUGUUAGUUAACUAAGCUUAUGAUUUUAAAACAAUUUGAAAGCAACUCUCUUUUCAAGUAAAAUCUUUCUAAAACCAUGCAUCAUUCCCAGAACCCAUAAAUGAAAUGCAAAUGUACAGUUGAAUUGGGUUUCACUCUGAGCAGAAAAUAGCUUACUGGUUUGAAUAUCUUGUCUCCUUAGGGGAUGUAUAAAUGCACACUCUGUUUCUGCUGAUUCCUUAUGGCCCAGAUUGGUAUACAUGUUUGUUAUUUAAUUUUAUUCAUUUUAUGUUUUCACAGCUUAUCUAAAUAUAAUUGACGUACAACAAACUAAACAUUUAAAAAGAAUGUUUUGCUCAUUUUCAACACAUGUAUACUCUUGAGAAUCAUUGAUCACAAAAAGAACACUAUCUACAUGAAUAUUAUCCUCAUACCUUCUAUAUUACCUGUUCCCAUUACUGCUGAUACCCAACCAACCACUGGCUCUUUUGGUACCAUUUGUUGAAAAGUUGCACUAUACACAUUUUUUAGCCCGACUUCCUCAGCAUUAUUAUUUAAAGAUUUAUUUUUACUAGUGGUAUUUAUCACUUGUAAUUCUUUAGAAAAAUCAAUUGCCUGGGUGUAGUAUAGUCUAUCCAUUAAGCAAAAGUGAGCAUUUGGAUAAAUUUUCAUUUUCAAAUUUGAUGAAUAAAGCUAGACAAUCACUUGAGUUAUUUGAUACAUGCUUUCCUUGCUUUUCAGCAAGUACACAGGUGUGGAUUCUUUGAUCAUGCAGUGUGUUCAUGUGUAAUGCUUUAAGGCAAAUGAACAGUUUUGUAAAGUCAUAUUUCAAUUCCAAUGUGGAGUUAUUCCACAUGGUCUUAAUUUCUUUUCUAUGGUUGUGAUAAAGUAGCCUGACAAAUGCACCUUAAGGGUUUAUUGUGCUCCUAGUUCCAUGUUACUCUCUGUUGCAGCAGAGCAGUUACAGUGGUAGGAGCUUAAGAAACCUGAUCACAUUAUUCCAGAGUCAAAGGAAAAUUGCAGUGAUUGCAUGCCAUGCCAUGUUAGUACUCAGCUUGCUUUAUGUAGUCUUUGAUCUUCUGCCUAGGGAGUGGCUUUACACAAACUUCAGAUAGGUUUCUGGAAGAUAACAGAAGUUUGUAUGAGCUAGUUUAUGCUGAAAAACAUGGUGCUGGUAUGGUAUCCAGUAUAAGUUAUCUGGGGCACCACAAGUCAGCUAAUAGUGGCUGAUAUUACAUUUUCAGAGAAACUCAAAUAUGCAUCAGUAUAAUCUAUAUUUGGCAGGAUGAUUCUUUUGUGUGAUUCUGUUUAAAUAUAGUCUUUAUCGGACUGUGUAUGUGUUUCUGCCUGUUUGCCUGUGUACCUACUUCUGUGUAGCCUGUGUACCACUUUUAAAAUGAGCUUAUUCUCGCUUGUGUGAAACUUAUAUUAGACAGUGAGGCAGAAACUUCCAUCCUUCCGAACUGCUAUUGUCUUAGCUUCUUGUUGUGAGACACACAUUGUUGGACUACUUGAAACAUAGCCUGUAAGCCAGUCAAGUAAACCCUUUAGUGUUUUAAUUCUUUCAGUUCUGUCCAUUUAAUAAACUGUGAUUACUACAUAAUUCUUUAAAUGUCUACAAUCCAUAUGCAUUUAAAUCGGCAUAAAUAAUACUCAAUAAGAGUUUCCAUUGUUAACAUUGAAGUCGUUUAUUUUUUAAAUCCUAACUAAUUAAUUUAAUAUAAAUAAAUAAAAAUCUAAAAG
This is a long non-coding RNA of Mastomys coucha (southern multimammate mouse), 2039 nucleotides long. RefSeq lists it as uncharacterized. The record is from RefSeq and is a predicted model, not a curated record. The transcript is spliced from 2 exons. Lineage: Eukaryota; Metazoa; Chordata; Mammalia; Rodentia; Muridae.